UGGAAAAAAAAAAAAAAAAAAAAAAAAAAAAAAAA
Molecule: non-coding RNA, 35 nt
Filed under: Alexandrium minutum
Lineage: Eukaryota; Dinophyceae; Gonyaulacales; Pyrocystaceae
Source: RNAcentral